This 587-nucleotide ribosomal RNA is filed under the name uncultured beta proteobacterium. RNAcentral describes it as "bacterial SSU rRNA". It matches the Rfam family "Bacterial small subunit ribosomal RNA", at positions 338 to 916 of the family's 1533-position model. Lineage: Bacteria; Pseudomonadati; Pseudomonadota; Betaproteobacteria. The record is from RNAcentral.
CCUACGGGAGGCAGCAGUGGGGAAUUUUGGACAAUGGGGGCAACCCUGAUCCAGCAAUGCCGCGUGUGCGAAGAAGGCCUUCGGGUUGUAAAGCACUUUUGUCAGGGAAGAAAUCUUUUGGGCUAAUACCCCGGAAGGAUGACGGUACCUGAAGAAUAAGCACCGGCUAACUACGUGCCAGCAGCCGCGGUAAUACGUAGGGUGCAAGCGUUAAUCGGAAUUACUGGGCGUAAAGCGUGCGCAGGCGGUUCGCUAAGACAGUCGUGAAAUCCCCGGGCUUAACCUGGGAACUGCGAUUGUGACUGGCGAGCUAGAGUACGGCAGAGGGGGGUGGAAUUCCUGGUGUAGCAGUGAAAUGCGUAGAGAUCAGGAGGAACACCGAUGGCGAAGGCAGCCCCCUGGGCUAGUACUGACGCUCAUGCACGAAAGCGUGGGGAGCAAACAGGAUUAGAUACCCUAGUAGUCCACGCCCUAAACGAUGUCAACUAGUUGUUGGUAGGGUUAAACCUAUUAGUAACGUAGCUAACGCGUGAAGUUGACCGCCUGGGGAGUACGGUCGCAAGAUUAAAACUCAAAGGAAUUGACGG